GACGAACGCUGGCGGCGUGCUUAACACAUGCAAGUCGAACGGAAAGGCCCUGCUUUUGUGGGGUGCUCGAGUGGCGAACGGGUGAGUAACACGUGAGUAACCUGCCCUUUACUUUGGGAUAACUUCAGGUAACUGGGGCUAAUACCGGAUAGUAGCUCCUGCUGCAUGGUGGGGGUUGGAAAGUUUCGGCGGUUGGGGAUGGACUCGCGGCUUAUCAUCUUGUUGGUGGGGUAGUGGCUUACCAAGGCUUUGACGGGUAGCCGGCCUGAGAGGGUGACCGGCCACAUUGGGACUGAGAUACGGACCAGACGCCUACGGGAGGCAGCAGUGGGGAAUAUUGCACAAUGGGCGGAAGCCUGAUGCAGAAACGCCGCGUGCGGGAUGACGGCCUUCGGGGUGUAAACCGCUUUCGCCUGUGACGAAGAGUGAGUGACGGUAAUGGGUAAAGAAGCACCGGCUAACUACGUG
This 468-nucleotide ribosomal RNA is filed under the name uncultured bacterium. Its description in RNAcentral is "partial 16S ribosomal RNA". It matches the Rfam family "Bacterial small subunit ribosomal RNA", at positions 28 to 507 of the family's 1533-position model. The record is from RNAcentral.